RNAcentral lists this ribosomal RNA (406 nucleotides) under uncultured bacterium. Its description in RNAcentral is "partial 16S ribosomal RNA". It matches the Rfam family "Bacterial small subunit ribosomal RNA", at positions 30 to 526 of the family's 1533-position model. The record is from RNAcentral.
AUUGAACGCUGGCGGCAGGCCUAACACAUGCAAGUCGAACGAGUGGCGGACGGGUGAGUAAUGUCUGGGAAACUGCCCGAUGGAGGGGGAUAACUACUGGAAACGGUAGCUAAUACCGCAUACCAUCGGAUGUGCCCAGAUGGGAUUAGCUAGUAGGUGGGGUAACGGCUUACCAAGGCAACGAUGCAUAGCCGACCUGAGAGGGUGAUCAGCCACACUGGAACUGAGAAACGGUCCAGACUCCUACGGGAGGCAGCAGUAGGGAAUCUUCCGCAAUGGGCGCAAGCCUGAUGCAGCCAUGCCGCGUGUAUGAAGAAGGCCUUCGGGUUGUAAAGUACUUUCAGCGAGGAGGCGUUACUCGCAGAAGAAGCACCGGCUAACUCCGUGCCAGCAGCCGCGGUAAUUC